This 645-nucleotide ribosomal RNA is filed under the name uncultured bacterium. RNAcentral's name for it is "bacterial SSU rRNA". It matches the Rfam family "Bacterial small subunit ribosomal RNA", at positions 232 to 885 of the family's 1533-position model. The record is from RNAcentral.
CGCGGCCUAUCAGCUUGUUGGUGAGGUAACGGCUCACCAAGGCAACGACGGGUAGCUGGUCUGAGAGGACGAUCAGCCACACUGGGACUGAGACACGGCCCAGACUCCUACGGGAGGCAGCAGCAGGGAAUAUUGCACAAUGGGCGAAAGCCUGAUGCAGCGACGCCGCGUGAGGGAUGAAGGCCUUCGGGUUGUAAACCUCUUUCAGGAGGGAAGAAGCGAAAGUGACGGUACCUCCACAAGAAGCCCCGGCCAACUACGUGCCAGCAGCCGCGGUAAUACGUAGGGGGCAAGCGUUGUCCGGAUUCAUUGGGCGUAAAGAGCUCGUAGGCGGCUCAACAAGUCGGUCGUGAAAGCCCGGGGCUCAACCCCGGGACGCCGAUCGAAACUGUUGUGGCUAGGGUCCGGUAGAGGAGAGUGGAAUUCCCGGUGUAGCGGUGAAAUGCGCAGAUAUCGGGAGGAACACCAGUAGCGAAGGCGGCUCUCUGGGCCGGCACCGACGCUGAGGAGCGAAAGCUAGGGGAGCAAACAGGAUUAGAUACCCUGGUAGUCCUAGCCGUAAACGUUGGGCACUAGGUGUGGCGGACUCAUUGACGUCUGCCGUGCCGUAGCUAACGCAUUAAGUGCCCCGCCUGGGGAGUACGG